GUGCCAGCCGCCGCGGUAAUACGGAGGAUGCGAGCGUUAUCCGGAUUUAUUGGGUUUAAAGGGUGCGCAGGCGGGCUUUUAAGUCAGCGGUGAAAUCUCGACGCUUAACGUCGAAACUGCCGUUGAAACUGGGAGUCUUGAGUAUAGAUGAAGUAGGCGGAAUUCGUUGUGUAGCGGUGACAUGCUUAGAUAUAACGAGGAACUCCGAUUGCGUAGGCAGCUUACUAAACUAUAACUGACGCUCAUGCACGAAAGCGUGGGGAUCAAACAGGAUUAGAUACCCUGGUAGUCCACGCCGUAAACGAUGAUUACUAGUUGUAUGCGAUAUGAUAGUAUGUGACUAAGCGAAAGCGAUAAGUAAUCCACCUGGGGAGUACGCCGGCAACGGUGAAACUCAAAGGAAUUGACGGGGGCCCGCACAAGCGGAGGAACAUGUGGUUUAAUUCGAUGAUACGCGAGGAACCUUACCCGGGCUUGAAAUGCAGAAGACGAUCUAUGAAAGUAGAUUUCCAGCAAGUGGUUUCUGUGUAGGUGCUGCAUGGUUGCCGCCAGUU
RNAcentral lists this ribosomal RNA (554 nucleotides) under uncultured Dysgonomonas sp. Its description in RNAcentral is "bacterial SSU rRNA". It matches the Rfam family "Bacterial small subunit ribosomal RNA", at positions 505 to 1060 of the family's 1533-position model. The record is from RNAcentral. Lineage: Bacteria; Pseudomonadati; Bacteroidota; Bacteroidia; Bacteroidales; Dysgonomonadaceae.